GGAGAAGGAGGACAGAUGAUGCUGUGUUCCAGCAGCAUUUCUGUGCUUGGCAAAACAAAAGCUCUGAAGCUAACUGGACCAACGUUUCUGAGAUGACAACUGGGAACCACUCAUUGUCAUCUGUGAAUACACCUGGAGCCUAUUGGUGAAACAAGAUUAAAAAACAGUCUGAGUUCCUGCCCCUUCCUUGGACAUUUCUAAUCAAUCAGCAGCUUUCAGAAGCAUAGCGAUGAUGCUCCUUCCACUGACUUCAGGGCAUGAAAUUCGAGUUUUGGGAACUCUAGUUAAGUGAUUUCCUGGAAUCCCUGCUACUCUGGAUUACAGAUGGAGCUGAGGAUAGGCACCUGGCAAAAGCCAGUGGGGAAGGGUCUUGUUUUAUUCCAUUUUGGUGCUGAGGAGCGAACCAGGUUCCUAUGUAUGGAGAUCAAGCAUUCAACCACUGAGCUCUAUCUCCAGCUGCAGAGAGAAGGAUUUUAUGUGCUAUCCUAUGGAGACUGUCUUGUAGAAAAUGGGACUUUCAGAGGAUUACAGAUUCAGUUACCUGUGGUCAACAUGGCCCAAAAAAUAUGAAAUGGAAAAUUCCAGGAAAACAUUUCAUAGCUUUUAUACAACUUUUACUGCAGCAUAUCAAUACUGAAGGUCCGACGUCAAAGUUCACAGGCUUGGCUACCCCUGAAGCCUUUCUCCUCGGCUUGGAAAUAGCCACUACUCACUGUGUCCUCAGAGGCUGGGUCCUGUGCUGUGAGCACUUCAGGUGUCUCUGUUCUUACAAGGACAGCAUUCAGGUUUGAUUGGGGCCAAGCUACGAGCCAGCCACCUUUUAACCUAGUUAUCUCCCCACACCUCAUCUGCAAUACACUGGGAAACGGAGUUCGAACAGCAACAUAGGAAUUUGGGGAUUGGGGAACACAGUGCAGCCCAGUGAUUAUUUAUUAUCUCUUAAAGUUGAGGUGGCAUGGGAAUUUGGACGAAGGGGCGACAGAGUUCCUGCUUCCCAAAGUCCGGAGACUCAGCUGAUGGCCUGGAGGCUGGCGACAGAGCCCAGAAGACCUGUUUAUUUAUUUAUUUUUUACUUAAAUUCUUUUAUUGGUACAUUUUAGGUAUACAGUGUGUUUACAUUUAUCAUUGGGUGCUUGUUCCUGUACAUGAUGUAUCUUGGGUCUUAUUUUUUCCCCAUUCGCUGUCCUCCCUUCCCUAUUCACAAAGACAUUGUUUCCAUUUUUUCCUUUUCUCGUAAUUUUUCCUUUCCCUUCUUUCCUUUUCCUUUCCCCUCCCACUUCCCCUACCCCUUUGGACCUCUUCUUAUUAUUUCAAAUUAUCAAUUAUUGGUUUUAAUCAUUUUAAUUCUUAUUUACACUUUUAGUUUCUCACACCAGAGGAACUAUUCAGUAUUUACACAUGUGUGUCCUAUUUAUUUCACUUAAGGGUAUGUCCUCACUAUGCAUCCAUUUAGCUACAAAUGUCUCUAGUUUCUCAUUCUUUAUUUCUGAGUAGCACUCCAUUUUGAAAAAAAACACAUCUUCUUUAUCCAGUUUCCAGUUGAUGGGCACUUGGGCUGUUUCCAAGCUUUAGCUAUUAAAAACUGUGCCGCUAUGAACAUGGGUGCACAUAUAUCGCUGUGGUAUGAUUAUUUUAAUUCUUUUGGGAAGAUCCCCAGCAGUGGAAUAGCUGGGUCAAAUGGGACCUCUAGCCCUAGUUCUUUGAGGUAUCUCCAUACUGAUUUCCACAGUGGUUGCACCAGUCUGCACUCCCACCAACAAUGGAGAAGAGUUCCUUUCUCCCCACACCCCCGCCAGCAUUUGUUAUUGGCUGAUUUCUUGAUAGCAGCCCUCGGAAGACCUGUUUAUGCGUGGUCUGCUUAUGGAUGCUGCUUGUGGGGUGUGACCUGCAGUGGAGCUGUUCCCCCCUCAGUCUCCCCAAGUUCCUUCCACUUCCAGUUGGCCUGGCUGCUGUGUUCUCAAGAGAGGAAACAGAGAUGAAGCCAGGGAGAAGCAAUCUCUUUUUGGAUGAUCUGGUCUCAGAAGACAGGCAGCAUCUUGUCUACUGUCUACCGUUAGAUAAGACAGUUAAAAAUGUGUGCCAAGAUUUAAGGGGAGAGGGCAGAGACCCCACCUGUAGUGGGAAGAAUGUCAGUGGUAGUGUAAGGAAGGCAUGUGAGAUGUGAGAGAGAUUUCUAUUUCUUUAUAUCAAUAUGUAGAUAUUACAUAUGU
Long non-coding RNA from Heterocephalus glaber (naked mole-rat), 2210 nucleotides. The record is from Ensembl. NCBI's taxonomy places the organism in Eukaryota, Metazoa, Chordata, Mammalia, Rodentia, Bathyergidae.